Molecule: long non-coding RNA, 1062 nt
Filed under: Mytilus galloprovincialis (Mediterranean mussel)
Lineage: Eukaryota; Metazoa; Mollusca; Bivalvia; Mytilida; Mytilidae
Source: RNAcentral
CCCCCUUAUAAGAAUAUAAUGCGCGUCCCCAUUAAACAAAUCAUCUUCCGGGUCGCUAGUAAAAUGAAAUUAUUUUUAGAUCCUGACGCGGACGUGUUAGAGAACACCCUGUACAAGUGUAGAGUAUAAUGCAUGCUAUAUGUACACCAACCAAAUUCUUUGAGGUCAAUAGCUUUUAGUUUAUAUAUGUGAGUUUUAAGCAAAUUUGUUUUUAAAAGAUAAUUUAGUUGAACACAAAGGACGUCAAAGAUACCCUGCACAGUUUUGAAAUGUAUAAUAACUGUAUACUGUAUACAGGAUUGUUUUCACAAGUUCAUGAAGUGAUCAGUGAUAAUAUUUUGCCGGCAUCUUCAUAAUAAAGAAAAAUCAUAAUAUUAGAUUUACACUUUCCGGAGCUAACAUCUUUGUAACCUCAUGUUUAAGUCGGUGGCAGUGUUAUGAAUGAGGUGUAUACGUACGUAUAUAUAUAAUGUUACAGUUUGUUGCAUAUGGAUGGUAUUUCGUACAUAGUUUUGUUGCUUUUACGAAGACACGAUAGUAUAAUCAUAAAGAUAUAUACACCCGGUCAAUCACUUUUGUUAUAAUAUCAAGCAAGUCGACCACGUGUAAGGGUGAAUAUAAAGCCUGUUGGAGCAACCAUUCACUGCGAUCACUUAUAUUUCAAAUUAGCACUGUGUAUGGAAUUACCUCUAAAGUUUGACUUUGCGAAACUGUUGUGGUUAUCUCCAUUCUUGGGCUUAAAAAACUUAACUAAACAAAAUCUUUGAAAAUAGAAUUCUGUAUCUAAUGUUCUGCAAAUAUGGCGAAGAUAGUGAUGAUGUCAGAAGGAUCAAAAUCAGCGAUUGGCUUAUAUGUUUAUAUUUGUUAGCAGUACUAAAAGAAUUUGUUAGACCGUACAUGUAAAACUUCAAAACACUAUCUAUUAUAUGUCCACGUUAGCGAUUGGUUGAAUCACACUGUCCAGUUUUUGUUAACGAUAUUAUCAGAAUUUUGUUAGACCGCACGGUCUCGCGGUCUUACUUUGUUAGUUAUAUAAGAAGACUAAAAAACCUAAUAUAUUUC